Molecule: ribosomal RNA, 448 nt
Filed under: uncultured bacterium
Lineage: Bacteria
Description: SSU rRNA
Rfam family: Bacterial small subunit ribosomal RNA
Source: RNAcentral
AGAACGAACGCUGGCGGCAGGCCUAACACAUGCAAGUCGAGCGGUCGUAGCAAUACGGCAGCGGCAGACGGGAGAGUAACACGUGGGAACGCGCCCUUCGGUUCGGAAUAACUCAGGGAAACUUGGGCUAAUACCGGAUACGCCCUUACGGGGAAAGAUUUAUUGCCGAAGGAACGGCCCGCGUCCGAUUAGCUUGUUGGUGAGGUAAUGGCUCACCAAGGCGACGAUCGGUAGCUGGUCUGAGAGGAUGACCAGCCUCACUGGGACUGAGACACGGCCCAGACUCCUACGGGAGGCAGCAGUGGGGAAUAUUGGACAAUGGGCGCAAGCCUGAUCCAGCCAUGCCGCGUGGGUGAUGAAGGCCCUAGGGUUGUAAAGCCCGUUUCGGCGGGGAAGAUAAGUGACGGUACCGCAGAAGAAGCCCGGCUAACUUCGCGCCAGCAGCCGC